RNAcentral lists this ribosomal RNA (253 nucleotides) under uncultured bacterium. RNAcentral describes it as "partial 16S ribosomal RNA". It matches the Rfam family "Bacterial small subunit ribosomal RNA", at positions 524 to 776 of the family's 1533-position model. The record is from RNAcentral.
UACGAAGGGGGCUAGCGUUGUUCGGAAUCACUGGGCGUAAAGGGCGCGUAGGCGGCCUGCUAAGUCGAACGUGAAAUCCCUGGGCUCAACCCAGGAACUGCGUCCGAUACUGGUUGGCUUGAAUCCGGGAGAGGGAUGUGGAAUUCCAGGUGUAGCGGUGAAAUGCGUAGAUAUCUGGAGGAACACCGGUGGCGAAGGCGACAUCCUGGACCGGUAUUGACGCUGAGGCGCGAAAGCCAGGGGAGCAAACGGG